GACGAACGCUGGCGGCGUGCCUAAUACAUGCAAGUAGAACGCACAGUUUAUACCGUAGCUUGCUACACCAUAGACUGUGAGUUGCGAACGGGUGAGUAACGCGUAGGUAACCUGCCUGGUAGCGGAGGAUAACUAUUGGAAACGAUAGCUAAUACCGCAUAAUAUUAAUUAUUGCAUGAUAAUUAAUUGAAAGGUGCAAUUGCACCACUACCAGAUGGACCUGCGUUGUAUUAGCUAGUAGGUGAGGUAACGGCUCACCUAGGCGACGAUACAUAGCCGACCUGAGAGGGUGAUCGGCCACACUGGGACUGAGACACGGCCCAGACUCCUACGGGAGGCAGCAGUAGGGAAGCUUCGGCAAUGGACGAAAGUCUGACCGAGCAACGCCGCGUGAGUGAAGAAGGUUUUCGGAUCGUAAAGCUCUGUUGUAAGAGAAGAACGGGUGUGAGAGUGGAAAGUUCACACUGUGACGGUAUCUUACCAGAAAGGGACGGCUAACUACGUG
RNAcentral lists this ribosomal RNA (505 nucleotides) under uncultured bacterium. RNAcentral describes it as "partial 16S ribosomal RNA". It matches the Rfam family "Bacterial small subunit ribosomal RNA", at positions 28 to 507 of the family's 1533-position model. The record is from RNAcentral.